GCGGCGCAUUUAAGACAUGCAAGUCGAACGAAAAUUUACGCUUAAAGAGUUGAUUAGUUUACUAAGAGAUGAUUUAUUGUAAAUUUUAGUGGCGGACUGGUGAGUAAUACAUAGGUAAUCUGCCUUUUAGAGGGGAAUAACUAGGAGAAAUCCUAGCUAAUACCGCGUAAGACCACACUUAGGCAUCUAAGAGAGGUCAAAGGAGUAAUCCGCUAAAAGAUGAGCCUGUGGCUGAUUAGUUAGUUGGUGGGGUAAGAGCCUACCAAGACGAUGAUCAGUAGCCGAGCUGAGAGGCUGGCCGGCCACAUUGGGACUGAGAUACGGCCCAGACUCCUACGGGAGGCAGCAGUUGGGAAUAUUGGACAAUGGAGAAAACUCUGAUCCAGUGACGCCGCGUGAAGGAAGAAGGUCUUCGGAUUGUAAACUUAUUUUAUCAGGGAAGAAGAAAGUGACAGUACCUGAAGAAAAAGGACCGGCAAACUACGUGCCAGCAGCCGCGGUAAUACGUAGGGUCCAAGCGUUAUCCGGACUUACUGGGUGUAAAGGGCGAGUAGACGGCGCUGUAAGUCAGCUGUGAAAACUUAGGGCUCAACCUUAAGCCUGCAGCUGAAACUGUAGUGCUAGAGUGCAGGAGAGGUAAGCGGAAUUCCUAGUGUAGCGGUGAAAUGCGUAGAUAUUAGGAGGAACACCAGUGGCGAAGGCGGCUUACUGGACUGUAACUGACGUUGAGGCGCGAAAGUGUGGGGAGCAAACAGGAUUAGAUACCCUGGUAGUCCACACCGUAAACGAUGGAUACUAGGUGUAGGCGAGAUAUCGUCUGUGCCGGCGCAAACGCAAUAAGUAUCCCACCUGGGGAGUACGGCCGCAAGGUUGCAACUCAAAUGAAUUGACGG
This 893-nucleotide ribosomal RNA is filed under the name uncultured bacterium. RNAcentral's name for it is "bacterial SSU rRNA". It matches the Rfam family "Bacterial small subunit ribosomal RNA", at positions 39 to 916 of the family's 1533-position model. The record is from RNAcentral.